Molecule: long non-coding RNA, 1579 nt
Filed under: Sus scrofa (pig)
Lineage: Eukaryota; Metazoa; Chordata; Mammalia; Artiodactyla; Suidae
Description: lncRNA (ENSSSCG00025043898.1)
Source: RNAcentral
AUGCCAGGCUGGGGGAACCUGCACCCCCAGACCGGGACUCUCCUCUGGGCCCGGGUUCCCCACGCAGAGGAAAGUUGCCGCCCCGUCCCCCGGGGGAGAUGCUGGGCUGCAGCCUGGACAGCCUUCUCGGCGGCGGCGGCGGCGGCGGCGGCAGCGGCGGGCAGGAGGGGAGCCCCGGCUGGCUGCUGGCUGGCUCCCGCGCGCCCUUUCUGCUCCUUCCUCUCUGGCUCUUCCUUCCCCGGGGUCCUCGCCUUCCCGGAGUGUUGGAGCGAGACGGAGACCUCGGCCUUUGCCGGCGGAAGCGUCGCAGCCCUCAGUCAAGGCAGACAUCACUCAAGAGCACCGAGAACAUGGUCCUUCUCAGCAGAGUGCUCUCGACAGCCAGCCAGUACUAAUCUAUCCAGGUUUGCCAUGCUGGCGAAGCUGUUGCGUGGAAAACAAAUCCUCGAGGUGCAUCUGAGAGAAUCAAGGCCCAAGAAGGUGGACUUGCCCAAGACGUGGCAGGUAAGUGCAUCUGUGAACCUACAGCCAGCUUUGGGGAGGUGUUGGGGGUGCCUUCUCAUGUUUGGAACAUACUGAAGAAGCCCCAUUCAGGGCCUAGAUGGGCCUUUCGAAGGCAUCACCUUUCUCUCCUGCUCAUCUCCCAGGAGGCCCUUGACUUUGUCCUCUCUCAGAGGUGGCCGCGUUUGUGUUCCUUUGUCUGCCUGCCUCUGUUUUGGGGGGAACAUGGCAGACUCCAACCAGGAUUCUCCAGCCCCCAUGGAAGGAAGCAGACCCACGGCCGUGUUCUUCCCUGGGGCCUGGAACCGAGCACCCUCCUUGGAAAAGGAAUUUGGGGCCACGAGCCCCUAAGAGGUGCCGUCCUCUGGAAGCAAAACCUGGUUUCCCAUCUUGGACAGAGCUGUUCUGUCCAGAGAUGCCCCAGGUGCAAGAGGGUGGGUGGGGAGGCUGUGCUGCAUCAUGGACCUUAGGUGGGGGCGCUCAGAAGCUCUCUCUCUCCCUCUCCUGUUGGUUCCCCCAUGCAGGCUGGUGGCUGGGAAUGGAAAGGACCUGCCAGUGAGGCCUGAGCUGAGUUUAGGGCUAGGGGGCCAAAUGAGCAGUGAGGUUUGUUCCUGGGCUCCGGAGGGCAGCAGGCCCCGCUGAGACCCCAGCUGUGUGUCGUAUGGCGGAGGGGGAGGUGGCUGGGCUUCGGGCAGGGGCCUGCUUGCUGGGGGACCACCUCCCCAUGGAGAGCAGAGCAGCUGGAGGUCACUUGUGAGAGGCAGAGGUCCUCCCUGGUCUCCAUCCCUCUCUCAUCCCCUCCUCUAAUUUUAUUCUUGCCGUUUUGCUUAUGACACGGAUGCAGCGAAGGCAUCAUGUGACCGGGUUGGCCAGCCCCAAACAUGACCGCCCAAGCCCAGACCCGGAGACCCUUCCCCCGCCACGCAGGCCUGUCCCAAGGGCCCUGUGCCCCUGCUUGUGAAUUCUGGGCAUCUCAACACUGGCACGCUCCUCCGACCUGCUUACGCUGUUUAACAAAUGCAUUGGGGGACCAGCUCGGAGAUGAGGAUCGGAGGAGAGAAGGCAUCGUCUUUUCUCC